UGUUUAUGAAAAAAUGGGUUAACCCUAGCUGGACCUGGCACCCAGACCACUUCAUUAAGCUGAAGUGGUCUGGGUGCCUAGAGUGGUCCUUUAAUUUAUACACCAUGCCACUAAAAUCAACGGCAAGUAUAAAAAUGAAAACAUAACUGCCUGGAGUUUUUAUGCCUCCACAAACAGCAUGUUGCACAAGAGCCACGGCUCCUGAUAAAGAGAUCUACAUCCCACAAUUCCUAGCGUGCAUGUGCACCGCUACGCGAUACCACAGAGUGUUUGUUCUUUAUUGCUACGAGUUAGCAAGAAGGUCUCUGAACUGCAGAGAAUUGAAAUCCACACCCAUAUGAAAGGUGUUAUCAUACCUAUGAAAGAGAUGUAAAUUUGGGGGACAGCCUGUAACUGUAAGGCAUGAUAUUUUGGAGCUGUUAGUUUUGUGAGGUUAUAAACGGUGCGCAAAAUCUGUGAUUCUGUACUGCAGUGGCCAGACUGGCUGUACGACCAUUUCCAGCCACAGGAUAAAAAAAAACGAUGAGAAAAACGUUAUUACCAUUUUGCUCCAAAAAACACACAAGGGAUUAUUUUCGGGGGAUGUCAAGCAUGUGCAAGAAAAGAGGUCUAUGUUCGGGGGAAUUACCUCGAAUAUAAACUAGUUCACUAGUGCAUGGACUCCUGCGAAUCUAUGUUUGGGGAAAAUUCCCCGAACAUAGAUUAGCAAACUAACAACUAGAGACCAGAGCUUAUUUUUGGGGAGGGCUAAUAUAACGAGCAUCCCCCAAAAAUAAGCUAGAGGGAUGUCUUAUUUUCUAAGAAAAUGGUGAACAAAUUCUAGUGCAUCUAGGUUAUACAAUUACACCAAGACCAGAAAAAAAUUAAACAGUCUAUUGAGAGGAGUGUAACCUUUUAGCAUUUUUUAAAUAACUGAAGAACAAGCUUGGAUCGGCUGUUAAGUAGGGUACCGCCUUUUUAGGUUUAUUCAAAGACUAUUAAGUAUGGUGCAGCAAAACAUAUUUUUAUGAGACGCUUUCUCCAAUUGUUCUCUGCACAAUCUGUAAUUAUGCCAACUACCAUUAGAGAACAGAAAAGAGAACAUAACACGGUUGGUGUGGAGGAAACAGAAACCUUUAUCCAAAAAGUGAAAAAAACAAUACUGAUAAAUUAAUGGGGCACAGAUUUACUGUUUGGUCUUAUGAUGGACUCCACCAAAGUCCAAAAUUAGGAGCAGGGGCCUUACAAAGUGUUAACUACAUAACCAUCCUUUAGAACAGAAAAAACAUAUAUUUGCAAGAAAUCUAAUAUGUUGAUUCAAUUCUAUAAUAAAAAAUACCAAAGAGUUAGAAUGGCUAGCUAUAGUCACUCUCCCCCAUCAUAUCUUUGGACAUAGUAAAAGGCAAGUUUGAAACCAAACUUGACUUGUGCCAAGGUCAUUUCUGAGCCAGUAACUGAUGAAGGAAAAGAUGAUAAUGAUCAACCCAGUUCUGAUUCUACUGGGCUUAGCAACAUUCCCCAGCAGCAUGAAUCCUGCCAAGGUUAAUGACGAAGAGCUGUAGGCUUCAACUAAGCUCAGCAGGAAUUUGCAGCUACCCACUGAAAUCAAUGCUGUGAACAGUUAUUGAGACAUCUUGUAUUUACCUAGUUUUGCUAGUUCUUGUUGUUUGAUAUCGAAUAUUCAGUCCCUAUUGAAUAGAAUGUUCUGUUUCAUUGAUAGAACUUAAUCAGUAAAGAUAAGUUCACUUCACUGACCAGGUACUACCAGCCAGAACAGGGGUGGCCAGGAAGUAAAUCUCCAACUAUUUUCAGAAACGCAAUUCCCAUGAUGCUUUGCCAUCCGUAUAGCUGGUGAUGUAACCUGGGUUUGUAUUUCAGCAGCUGGGAAUCUACCCUUUUGCCACUCGUGAUCUAGAAUCUAGAUUAGUUGGUCCCAACCUUUUUUGGAGCAAGGGACACAUUACUAAAGAAAAACUCCAAGAUAAAUUUAAAUUUUUUCCACUUUUCAACAAAUGUAAAAUGUCACAUUUCCUCUAAGAUUUAUUAGAGAGAUAUACAUUCUUCUAGCCAAACUGACUUGUUAGCUUUAAUUAAUUUCCAGGUGGGAAUCCCAAUGUAAUUGGCAUUUAUAAAACAUAUUUAAAAAAAAAAAAAAAAACCCACAUUCAAAGUCUGUAGUGGACCUGAUAUAAGUCGAUGUGACUUGAGGCACACUGGUGCCACGGCGCACUGGUUGAAUCUCACUGAUCUAUAUUAUUAAUACGGACAAUAAGUGAAGCUCAUAAUUGCAAUUUAAAGCAGAUAUAUUACUUUGCUUUAAAUGGCCCUGUUGAUUUUAACCAAACCAUGACCACCAACCACUAAAAGGCUGAUUAUAGUGUUUUCUGUAUAGAGUAAUUUUUUUUGAAUUUACAACUUAUACAAAUUAAGAGCUGUGUGAAUAUUAUAAACCUCCUACAGAUAUUCAAAGGUUUUUAAAAAUGCUUUACAUGAAUGACUAGUUUAUUGUUUCCAGAUCGAUUCCUCUGGUGCACAAUCUAAAAGAUUUCAACAGGGAAAUUGCAUAGUAUGAAUAUGUCAAAGUUGCAGACGAAGACAAAGGAAUAACUAUUCUGCUUACAGAAAAUGUACAAUAAUACAUACUAACUGUGUUUCUGUAAGGGGUACUGCAACUUAGCCAUUUACAAAGAGGUACUCCAGGAUAGAAAUGGCCACAAAUUUUUCUAAAUGCAUAUAAGCCGAGGCACUGAAAAGGCAGAACCCCAGAUGUUGUAUAACUGAACGUACAACUCUCAUGAUGCUUUGCCAGCCACAAAGCAUUGUGAAUGUCAUAGAUCUACCCACAGAAAUAUAUUUUAGGUUCCCCUGAUAUAGAGAAUGGAUUUGAAAAUCAAUCAUGCGUGAAUAUCAAUGGAAAAAAAAAAAAAAUGAAAUAAAAAAUAACUAUCUUUUAAAUUCAUUUAAUUUAGUGCAGAGGUCCAGCUACCUUCAGACUAUAAAAAUCACUGAAUCAUCUCAUGUAAUCUUUAGUUUCCAAGAAAGAAAGCUGAGCAUAUUCCAUAAACCUCUGUCCGUAUGGGAUAUGUAGUUCAGCUUUAGGGCAGUUCUGUUCAUUAAAAGACGUGAAAGAAACUGGCACUCUAUGGUGCUCUAUCAACUUGUCACAUAGCUCUAUUUGAUUUGUUUGUUUUUAUGAAUGUUAGUUGUGUCCAUAGCAGCAUCUCUCUCAUUGUAUUUUGAGUGUAUGUUAUUACCUAUUAUAUGCUCAAAUAUUGGGAUUUUAUUACUAUAGUUUAUUAUUCUAUUCUGCUAACUUUUCCAUUCACUCCCACAUUUUCUUGAUAAGCACUUAUUUGGAUUAACACUCUGGUUUUUAAAGGCAGCAUGUUUCAAUGCAUUGAUUGGUAGGGUGUACAUAAAGAUAUUUAUGGGAUUGUUGUUCCCCACUCAACUACCUAUAACCAAAAGCAUACACACACACACACACACACACACCAAUUGGGGCAGCAUUUUUAGAAAGAUCACACUUAAGCAUACAUGCCUACACUUUAAUACUGUGACAAAAACUGGAGGUUUUAAAGUAACACUCCAGCUUUAUUAAAAAAACAAAACAAACGUUAAUAACACUGGAAUCUUGAUUACAGUUACUGUUGGAAUGUUGAUUUAGAUAACUGCCCCCUACGCCUCCGCUCCCCUAAACAUGAAGACAUUUCCCUCUAAUCAAGCUUUCCUGCUGCAGUCCCGUACCACAGCUCCGUUACAGCACUAGUGAUGAUAUUCUGGGGAAUCCAAUGCUUCACACUAAAAGGCACAGAUAUAGGCAGUGAUUGCCACUCUGAAGCAGUCAUGCUUCUCAUAGAAAAGUACUUGUAUCAAUGCCCCUCUACGAGAAGCCCUCACUUCCUCCUUGAACUAGCACCCAAUGAUAGUGAGAAAGAGAACCCUGCUGGCUGUGUAGUUCACAGCUGGGAGGGCCCAACUCAGGACCUUAAUAUAAGAGCAGAUAUCUCUUGAUAUUGGCACUUUUAUAAAGUAGAAAAGAAGGGACACGGUAUAGAGUGUUCCUUUAACUAGUGCUGAACGGGCUCCUGAAAACAAUGUUCUAUUAGUUUUGUGAAAUAAAGCCUCCGUUUUUAAGUUCUGGAACCAUAGCAGCAUAGGUGUAUGUGCCCUUAAAGGGACACUAUUGUCACAAGAACAACUACAGCUUAUUGAAUUUGUUCUGGUGAAUAGAAUCAUUAACUUCAGGCUUUUUGCUGUAAACAUUG
Molecule: long non-coding RNA, 4247 nt
Filed under: Pelobates cultripes (western spadefoot toad)
Lineage: Eukaryota; Metazoa; Chordata; Amphibia; Anura; Pelobatidae
Source: RNAcentral